UUGAAACGUGUAGAAGGUAUUAGUAAACGGUAUUUGCUCGUUCUAUAUAUAAUAGUAAGAUUACCCCUGAAAGAUAUGAAUACAAAUACAGUACACUGUUAGAUGCAAGAUUUGUUCUCAUUUUCUUUUUUAUUGAUGUUCUAACAAAAAUGUUUAAUUGUUGAAUGGGGAACUUUUUAUUUCAAAGUAUCUUCUAUUUAUCGGUUAUAUUCAAAAUGCCCUGUCAAUUUUCAACUGUCAAUUUUUAUACAAUUUUUACAAUUAUAAGAAGUUCAAGCGCUCCGGUCAACAAUGACAACUGUGGCGUCACGGGAGAAACCGUGGCCGGACCAACGCGGCAAUCAAAGUGUUAAACUUCGCUAGGAAAGAUGUAGAGAAACGUUGCCGUGUUUUCCUUAGUAAACGAUCAUAAGUUACGAUAGUUAGCGCAGUUAGGACUCCGCGUGAAUGUCCGGACAGUAAACUGCACACGUGCGACGAGAAAAUCCAAAAUUACGAUGUCCCAACUAGCCGAACACGAGGAAAUCUUACUGACUGUAAGUUAUGUUCCGCGUAACGUUCGGGAAGAGCAUUAAUUCCUUCCACCGAGUUUGUUUCACAGUAUUUUCUGCUACAAGCAACACAAAGAACAACGAAGUGGGUGAGAAUGAUCGAAAGGAGAAAAUUGCGAAAUGUCGAGGAUGAUCGAUUGUUUUCCUUCGCUUAUCCGCCAGCGGUUGGGACAAGAAAAAGAAAGGGAGGGAGGGAGCUAAAGUGGCAAGAAUGGCAGCGUGAACGACUUGUAAUGUCUGUUGUCGAGAGACUGAAGUUAAUUGCAAUAUCAUUAUGAAAAUCGGCGACGUGUAACGUUUGUCCUAGUUACGUUCGACACGAAGACCUCGUACAAUAUCUACACUACGUUUGACCGAGUUAAUAUAAGGAAGAUAAAUGUAUAUCUUUAUGAAGAAUUUUUCUUUGAGAUUGAUGUUACCAUUAAAGUAAUCAGGU
This is a long non-coding RNA of Bombus pyrosoma, 987 nucleotides long. RefSeq lists it as uncharacterized. Lineage: Eukaryota; Metazoa; Arthropoda; Insecta; Hymenoptera; Apidae. The record is from RefSeq and is a predicted model, not a curated record. The transcript has 4 exons.